RNAcentral lists this ribosomal RNA (253 nucleotides) under uncultured bacterium. RNAcentral describes it as "partial 16S ribosomal RNA". It matches the Rfam family "Bacterial small subunit ribosomal RNA", at positions 524 to 776 of the family's 1533-position model. The record is from RNAcentral.
UACGUAGGUGGCAAGCGUUGUCCGGAUUUAUUGGGUUUAAAGGGUGCGUAGGCGGUCUUAUAAGUCAGUGGUGAAAUACGGCAGCUCAACUGUCGAGGUGCCAUUGAUACUGUAGGACUUGAGUACAGACGAGGUAGGCGGAAUUGACGGUGUAGCGGUGAAAUUCGUAGAUAUUGGGAAGAACACCGGUGGCGAAGGCGGCUCACUGGCUCGUAACUGACGCUCAUGCACGACAGCGUGGGGAUCAAACAGG